AUACAAUUCUUUGACGUAGAACAUAAAAAAACCUUAUAAUCCUAGAAAAGUCACAUGUAGCGGUUUUUUGAGAGCUUUAGAUAAUAUCAACUGUUCUCGAUUUGUCAAAAGCUUGCUAAACAUCUCACGCGCGUAUGACCUCAUUUAUGAGCAGAUAUAUUGCUGAGAACCCGUGAAAUUAGGUACACAUAAAUUCAUUGACGAAACCUAAUUCUAUGAAAAUCUGUUCACAUGAAACAAAACAUUAUACAGUAAUUUUUUUUACAUUGUACUUUUAUUAUUUAUGACGUCGGUAUCAUAUUAUGUACUUUUCCGUACAGAUUUCCUAUUCAACUUUCUUUGAUGCUUUUAAAUUAUUAAAAUAUGAGGAUCAGGUAUUAUUUCCAAUGAAACAACUAUCCACAAAAGUUCAAAUGAAGCGGAAACUAACUGUACUGCCUUUCCCUUAUGCCACUGGUCAGUUUUAUAUGUAUGUGAACAAAACAAAACAAGAAGAACCUAUUAAGUUCUUGUUCGAAGAUUCGUAAUGCUUCUCAAUUUCAGAAAUUUUAUGUUUUGGGCAAACAUUUAAUUGUUUCUGUUUAUUGAUAUUAAGAAUAAUUAUAACAAAC
Molecule: long non-coding RNA, 611 nt
Filed under: Mytilus galloprovincialis (Mediterranean mussel)
Lineage: Eukaryota; Metazoa; Mollusca; Bivalvia; Mytilida; Mytilidae
Source: RNAcentral